GGGUAAUACCGGAUAAUUCUUAUUGUUUACGGACGAUAAGGGAAAGGGGCCACGGCCCUGCUUUUCGAAGAGCCUGCGUUCCAUUAGUUAGUUGGCAGGGUAACGGCCUACCAAGGCGACGAUGGAUAGCCGGCCUGAGAGGGUGACCGGCCACACUGGGACUGAGACACGGCCCAGACUCCUACGGGAGGCAGCAGCUAAGAAUCUUCCGCAAUGGGCGAAAGCCUGACGGAGCGACGCCGCGUGGACGAAGAAGGCCGGAAGGUUGUAAAGUCCUUUGCUCGAUGAAGAAUAAGGCAGCGAGGGAAUGCGCUGUCGAUGACAUUAGUUGAGGAAUAAGCCCCGGCUAAUUACGUGCCAGCAGCCGCGGUAACACGUAAGGGGCGAGCGUUGUUCGGAAUUAUUGGGCGUAAAGGGCGCGUAGGCGGCUUGGCAAGCCUGGUGUGAAAGGCCACAGCUUAACUGUGGGAGUGCGCUGGGAACUGCCUAGCUAGAGUUUCGGAGGGGAAGCUGGAAUUCCUGGUGUAGGGGUGAAAUCUGUAGAUAUCAGGAAGAACAUCUGUGGCGAAGGCGAGCUUCUGGCCAGAAACUGACGCUGAGGCGCGAAAGCGUGGGGAGCGAACAGGAUUAGAUACCCUGGUAGUCCACGCUGUAAACGAUGUGCACUAGGUGUUGGCUGUGAUAACGGUCAGUGCCGAAGCAAACGCGAUAAGUGCACCGCCUGGGGAGUAUGCUCGCAAGGGUGAAACUCAAAGGAAUUGACGGGGGCCCGCACAAGUGGUGGAGCAUGUGGUUUAACUCGAUGAUACGCGAGGAACCUUACCAGGGUUUGACAUAUGGCGGACUGCGGCAGAGAUGUCGCUUCCCUUCGGGGCCGUCAUACAGGUGCUGCAUGGCUGUCGUCAGCUCGUGCUGUGAGGUGUUGGGUUAAGUCCCGCAACGAGCGCAACCCCUGCUGUCUGUUACCAGCACGUAAUGGUGGGGACUCAGGCGGUACUGCCGGUGACAAACCGGAGGAAGGUGGGGACGACGUCAAGUCAUCAUGGCCCUUAUGUCCUGGGCUACACACGUGCUACAAUGGCCGGUACAGAGUGCAGCGAAACCGCGAGGUGGAGCAAAUCACAGAAAGCCGGUCUCAGUACGGAUUGGAGUCUGAAACCCGACUUCAUGAAGCUGGAAUCGCUAGUAAUCGCG
Molecule: ribosomal RNA, 1194 nt
Filed under: uncultured organism
Description: bacterial SSU rRNA
Rfam family: Bacterial small subunit ribosomal RNA
Source: RNAcentral